GUUAUACUCCCUCCGUUCUGAAUUACUUGUCGCAAGUAUGGAUGUAUCUAGAUGUAUUUUAGUUCUAGAUACAUCCAUUUUUGCGACGAGUAAUUUAGAACGGAGGAAGUAUAUG
Triticum aestivum (bread wheat) is the source of this 115-nucleotide non-coding RNA. The record is from Rfam. Lineage: Eukaryota; Viridiplantae; Streptophyta; Magnoliopsida; Poales; Poaceae.